Molecule: ribosomal RNA, 253 nt
Filed under: uncultured bacterium
Lineage: Bacteria
Description: partial 16S ribosomal RNA
Rfam family: Bacterial small subunit ribosomal RNA
Source: RNAcentral
UACGUAGGCAGCAAGCGUUGUUCGGAGUUACUGGGCGUAAAGGGUGUGUAGGCGGUUCUUUAAGUUUGGUGUGAAAUCUCCCGGCUCAACCGGGAGGGUGCGCCGAAUACUGAGGGACUCGAGUGCGGGAGAGGAAAGUGGAAUUCCUGGUGUAGCGGUGAAAUGCGUAGAUAUCAGGAGGAACACCUGCGGUGUAGACGGCUUACUGGACCAUCACUGACGCUGAGGCACGAAAGCGUGGGUAGCAAACAGG